UUAGGAUCUUGCUUAGAUUUUGAUUCGAAGAAACCAACUUUAAAACACAUUUUAAAGAAAAUCUUGGAAAAUUGAACACAAACUAGGUGUUAGAUGGUAUGAACUAAUUUUGUUGUGUGAUAGCAACAUUGUGAUUAUGUUUUCUUAAAAAAUCUUUAUCUGUUAGAUAUAUAUCCUGAAGUAUCUAUGGAUGAAAUGAUGUGAUGACCGGGAUUUUCUUGUAAAAUUCCAGAAGACAGCAAAAAAAUGGGGAGAAAUAAAUGAGAAAAUAUGGACAGAAUGUUGCCAGUUUGUUGAAACUAGAUGCAGAAACUGAGAAUCAGAAUAAAUAAUCUGAUGAAGUAGAUUUUCAACAGAUGUGGAACAAAGAAAGUUCAGCCUCAAGGUCUGGUUAGCCCUUUGUGUCCCUCAAGUUCCGUCUUCCUUUUGAUGUGCUCGCAGCAGCUCUGAGCCCGGGAGCGCCGGCCCUCCCCGCAUUCUGCCUCCCUGCGCCCGACCGGGCGGAAUGACAUGCCUUCAUCGACGCCCUCUGCACGCCCUUCCACCCUUGCCCUUGCUUGGGGACCUCGUGGGAAACGGCCUCCAAUCCCUGCAUCCAAGUUCAUUAAAAGCC
RNAcentral lists this long non-coding RNA (613 nucleotides) under Equus caballus (horse). RNAcentral describes it as "lncRNA (ENSECAG00000034271.3)". The record is from RNAcentral. Lineage: Eukaryota; Metazoa; Chordata; Mammalia; Perissodactyla; Equidae.